CAGAGUUUCAGACAUGGAUUCUACCCUUGGAAAACCUAGAAUCCUAUAUUUGAUUUGAGCCAUGCAAAUGGAUGUCUUACCCCUUACUUGUCCUCCCAUCUCAACAGGAAAUCAUAGUAGAAGAGGCGUUCCAUGAAGAAUGCUCCCAAUACAGCUACUUGCCUUUCUCAUUAAGAAAACCUACUGACAAGUGUUAGGAGAGAAGCAAUGACUUUGAAACAGCUACUUUAAGGGAGUGAAUAAGAACAUUAAAAGGAACCUCUGCUAUUUGAUGAAAGGACUACAUGCAUAUCAAGUAUGGCAUCCCCAUGAGAUUGUUCAUGCAGCAGUUUAACUAGAAAGGAAUGAGAAACUGCAAAUAGCCAAGCUGGAUUUUCAUAGAAAUACUUUGUUUGCUUGCUUCUUCAAAGAGUUUGCAGCCAAAAUGAUGUUGCCCACAGAAGCACAACAUGUUCCUAAGGGCUUUCCCCAGAACAACCUGUCCUACAUCUUCAUAAGAACAAGGUCUAAAGAGACAAUCAUCCACUGUGCUAUUUUGACAGCCUGCCAAUCCCACAUAUUUGUCCCUCAAGGACAAUGCAAACAGUACCAGGAAAUAUAGCCAGAAUGAUAGUCAAGAGAGGAACAAUAGGGCUCCUGCAUUCAACCCUGAACCCAGAAGGUCUAGUGGAAGGAAAGACUCAAAGUUGCUGAUGUGUUUUCCUUCUUUGUGGAUUACAUCCUCCUUUAUGGAUUGUUCCCUGGGACUUUAAGAGAGAGCAAGGGAGCACAUCUGCAGAAAGAUAAAAUUACCGGUUCUCCGAACUACUCAAAAUUUCCGCUACCGGUUCUCCAGAACUGGUCAGAACCUGCUGAAACCCACCUCUGCGCUAGACCUCCUGAAGUCUAAGGGUUAAAGGGCUGAAUAUCAUACAGGGCUAAAUGUAAAGUAAGAGGAGAGUAGGCAGGAGUAAAAGGAACAGAAUUCACAAUUCUUAAAGAAAAGAGCUAAGGAAAGAACUGUGGAAAUGUUUCCUUAUUGUUGGAAAAGGUUGGCAUUUAAAAAAAAAACAUCAGAAAAAGGAAACCUGUAAGUUUGUUAAGCAUGGUUAUUUUUCACGUAUCACUCUACCAUUGUCAUUCAUAAAUGUAACUAGGCAACAAUAGAAGAUUAGUUGCCUAUCGAUGGAUAACUCAGCAAAAGUUAUAUUUUAUAAUGAACCCGUUUAAAUAUCAAAAGAAAGCAUUCAGCCUCUUGGACUGUGGUUUCUACCAUAACUUAAGUGGAACCUUUUCACAGUAUGUGACAAAGGAGAAAUAAUUCAGCUAUUAAUAAAUCAAUUUAAAACACCAAAAUCUGUAUUUUCAUUCAAUUUCAGCUCCCAGGACUUCCCCAGAGAAGCAAUUAGAUUUCAAAUAGAACUGGAACUUGAAAACAGAAUUUGUUAAAUAAAUGCUGUCAUGCACCCA
Long non-coding RNA from Pantherophis guttatus, 1449 nucleotides. RefSeq lists it as uncharacterized. The record is from RefSeq and is a predicted model, not a curated record. Lineage: Eukaryota; Metazoa; Chordata; Lepidosauria; Squamata; Colubridae.